Molecule: transfer RNA, 87 nt
Filed under: Bacillota bacterium
Lineage: Bacteria; Bacillati; Bacillota
Also listed under: 1 other name
Description: Firmicutes bacterium (anaerobic digester metagenome) tRNA-Leu
Rfam family: tRNA
About the family: Transfer RNA (tRNA) molecules are approximately 80 nucleotides in length.
Source: RNAcentral
GCCGAAGUGGCGGAAUGGCAGACGCAGUCGACUCAAAAUCGACCGGGGUGACCCCCCGUGAGGGUUCAACUCCCUCCUUCGGCACCA